Molecule: unclassified non-coding RNA, 401 nt
Filed under: soil metagenome
Description: partial contains 5.8S ribosomal RNA, internal transcribed spacer 2, and large subunit ribosomal RNA
Rfam family: 5.8S ribosomal RNA (bases 1-122)
Source: RNAcentral
GAUGAAGAACGCAGCGAAAUGCGAUACUUGGUGUGAAUUGCAGAAUCCCGUGAACCAUCGAGUCUUUGAACGCAAGUUGCGCCUCAAGCCAUUAGGUUGAGGGCACGUCUGCCUGGGCGUCACAUAUCGUUGCCUGAUGCCAGUUUCCUCGUGAUGGGUGACUGUGCAGGGCGAAUGAUGGCUUCCCGUGAGCAUUGUUGCCUCAUGGUUGGUUGAAAAUUGAGUCCUUGGUAGGGAGCGCCGUGAUAGAUGGUGGUUGAGUGACGAACGAGACCCAAUCAUGUGAGACCCCUACCGAAUUUGGCCUUCAUGACCCACAUGCGUCUUUGGAACGCUCAUGACGAGACCUCAGGUCAGGCGGGGCUACCCGCUGAGUUUAAGCAUAUCAAUAAGCGGAGGAA